GCUGUUUCCCACAGGAUUUUUGGGGCAGAGCCAUUCCCGACGCUGCGUUCUGGAUCCAAACGGGGCUUGUGGGCUGCAGCUCUUUUGAAGGCUUCGCUCUGUCACAAGGUUUCCCGAACGGGAAGGAGGAUUCCCCUGGCCGCGGUGACCUCCUAGGCAGCUCCUGGCCGAGGGAUGGAGCUGUGGAGCAGGGCAGACCCCCAGCUCCGGGCGGUGCUGUGGUUCGCGCUGCGCUGCCGGGCCCUGGCGCUGCUGCUGCAGGCAAGUCCGUCCUCCAGCCAGGGAGCUCCGCUGGGGUUUGCUGCUCCCAGAUCCUCCCUGCUGUGCCCCAGAGAUCCGUGAGCUGCUUCUGCGCAAUGGGGAAAUCAUCCUCUCUGGAGAGCCAACAGACUGUCCACAGCCAACUUACAGGCCGUGUUUAACGCGCUGAUCCCGGACCACGCUGCCGACGCCUUCUCG
Non-coding RNA from Zonotrichia albicollis (white-throated sparrow), 459 nucleotides. NCBI's taxonomy places the organism in Eukaryota, Metazoa, Chordata, Aves, Passeriformes, Passerellidae. The record is from RefSeq and is a predicted model, not a curated record.